This 702-nucleotide ribosomal RNA is filed under the name uncultured Caulobacterales bacterium. RNAcentral describes it as "bacterial SSU rRNA". It matches the Rfam family "Bacterial small subunit ribosomal RNA", at positions 28 to 776 of the family's 1533-position model. Lineage: Bacteria; Pseudomonadati; Pseudomonadota; Alphaproteobacteria; Caulobacterales. The record is from RNAcentral.
AGCGAACGCUGGCGGCAGGCCUAACACAUGCAAGUCGAACGGAUCCUUCGGGAUUAGUGGCGGACGGGUGAGUAACACGUGGGAACGUGCCCUUUGGUUCGGAACAACUCAGGGAAACUUGAGCUAAUACCGGAUGUGCCCUUCGGGGGAAAGAUUUAUCGCCAUUGGAGCGGCCCGCGUCUGAUUAGCUAGUUGGUGGGGUAAAGGCCCACCAAGGCGACGAUCAGUAGCUGGUCUGAGAGGAUGAUCAGCCACAUUGGGACUGAGACACGGCCCAAACUCCUACGGGAGGCAGCAGUGGGGAAUCUUGCGCAAUGGGCGAAAGCCUGACGCAGCCAUGCCGCGUGAAUGAUGAGGGUCUUAGGAUUGUAAAAUUCUUUCACCGGGGACGAUAAUGACGGUACCCGGAGAAGAAGCCCCGGCUAACUUCGUGCCAGCAGCCGCGGUAAUACGAAGGGGGCUAGCGUUGCUCGGAAUUACUGGGCGUAAAGGGAGCGUAGGCGGACUGUUAAGUUAGAGGUGAAAGCCCAGGGCUCAACCUUGGAAUUGCCUUUGAUACUGGCAGUCUUGAGUACGGAAGAGGUAUGUGGAACUCCGAGUGUAGAGGUGAAAUUCGUAGAUAUUCGGAAGAACACCAGUGGCGAAGGCGACAUACUGGUCCGUUACUGACGCUGAGGCUCGAAAGCGUGGGGAGCAAACAGG